This 87-nucleotide transfer RNA is filed under the name Candidatus Bathyarchaeota archaeon. RNAcentral's name for it is "tRNA-Ser". It matches the Rfam family "tRNA". From Rfam's summary of the family: Transfer RNA (tRNA) molecules are approximately 80 nucleotides in length. Their secondary structure includes four short double-helical elements and three loops (D, anti-codon, and T loops). Lineage: Archaea; Thermoproteati; Candidatus Bathyarchaeota. The record is from RNAcentral.
GCCGGGGUAGCCUAGCCCGGUAAGGCGCCGGACUCGAGAUCCGGUUCCCCCCAUGGGGGAUCAGGGGUUCAAAUCCCCUCCCCGGCG